Cercocebus atys (sooty mangabey) is the source of this 1012-nucleotide long non-coding RNA. RefSeq lists it as uncharacterized. The record is from RefSeq and is a predicted model, not a curated record. NCBI's taxonomy places the organism in Eukaryota, Metazoa, Chordata, Mammalia, Primates, Cercopithecidae. The transcript is spliced from 4 exons.
UCUAUCUAAUCUCCUUUCUAUAUCUGUUCAGCUGUCACAUAUACACAUACAUAUAUUAGUAUGCAUUGAAGCCAAUCAUUGAGGCCUCAGCUGAUGACAGUUCAAGAGUUUCCAUGGAGAAAAGGCUUGGGAAAGCAGUCUCCACAAAGACGAAGAUGACAGGUUGUGGCCAAAGUCCUGUUUGCGUGUUAAGCACAAUGUUUUUGUUCAAAGAGUACAUUUAUAUGGAUGGCUUGGGAGGCUGAAGGACAUUGUGUUAGGAGGCAAGUGGGGUUUGAAGCACACCCAAGGCAUCCUCUGGCCUCCUCACCAGGCUUGUUUACUAAUGAUAAUGUCUUACUUUUCAUCAGUGAUACAUGUUUCUAUAUAGGAAAAGAAGAAAUUUGGAAGGAGAGCUAACAAGUUCAACUGAGGCUGAGGACAAUCAUCAGGCUAUCCUGUGACUUGCUUGGCUCAAUAGAAUGCAAUGAAAGUGAUGAUGUGACAGUUGGGAACCUGGACUUCAAGAGACCUUGCAUGAUUUUACUCUCCCUGUCACUCCUCUGCCUUUGUCAUGAGGCUUUGUGUGGGCCAGCCUGUUGCAGUAUGAGACCCAUGGAGCAGAGCCACAUCAGCCCAGCUCUUCUACCUAAGGCUCUACAUCUGUACCGGAGCCCAUCCAAGGGAACAAAGAGGUAUCAUACCCGUCCUAAUGCCAUACUGAAGACACUUUAAACAGGAACCAAAGGGAAAUAUAACACAGAGCUUUCUUGCUGCAACAAAAGAAAGAGGCAGAGCAGUUCCAGAUAACAACAAAGGACAAGAAACACCUUCUCUCUGAGGACAAAGACCUCCCUCAUGCACAAAAAAGAACAGUUCUUGUGGCUACAUGUCUACCUACCUUUUCACUGUAGCCAUAGCAUCACUUCUGUAAUCAGAGUCCCAAUUUCCUGUGGGAGACAGUGAAUUCCCUGCCGCCUUUAGACCUCUGGUAAGCAAAAUUGUAUCCAUUAAAAUCAUUCCAUUGUUGAUC